UGACCGUGCGAAGGUAGCAUAAUCAUUAGUCUUUUAAUUGAAGGCUUGUAUGAAUGGUUGGACGAGAAGUAAUCUGUCUCUGUUGAAAAAAUUGAAUUUAACUUUUAAGUGAGAAGGCUUAAAUGAUCUAGAGGGACGAUAAGACCCUAUAAAGUUUAAUAUUAUAACAAUAGAAAAUUAAUUGGGUUGUAAGGUUUAUUAUUGUAGGUAGUAUUUUGUUGGGGCGACAAGAAUAUAAAUAAUUUAACUGUUCUUUUUUGUAUCAAAGAUAUUUGAGUUGAUGAUCUUUUUAAGAGUAUUAGAGUAAAUUACUUUAGGGAUAACAGCGUAAUUUUUUUUUGAGAGUUCCUAUCGACAAAAGAGUUUGCGACCUCGAUGUUGAAUUAAAGAUUCUUUAUAGUGCAGAAGUUAUAAAAGAAGGUCUGUUCGACCUUUAAAUCUUUACAUGAUUUGAGUUCAGACCGGUGUGAGCCAGGUUGGUUUCUAUCUA
This 490-nucleotide ribosomal RNA is filed under the name Euastacus rieki. RNAcentral's name for it is "partial 16S ribosomal RNA". It matches the Rfam family "Archaeal large subunit ribosomal RNA", at positions 2020 to 2713 of the family's 2987-position model. The record is from RNAcentral. Lineage: Eukaryota; Metazoa; Arthropoda; Malacostraca; Decapoda; Parastacidae.